UGAUUUUGGUUCACAACUAUGUGAUUUUCAUCCCAUCGAAAAUUCAAGGCACCAAAUCUAUUAUCACUCUUACAAUGGAAUUGAAGUGCUGCUGCCGAGAUGGUGAUAGUACAUGAGGUGAAGAAGAAGUUUGUAACGGAGAUGGUGAGAUGCGCUGUUGCCUGAGGUGAAGAAGAAGAGAAAGCAGAGAAGCAAAAUAAGGAGGACACAAAAAGGAAUUAAUUGUAAGUAUGGAUAGAACCCUAAUUGCGAAUUUACUGUAAUUGAACCCUAAUUUGCUAAAUUGCUAUUUACCUGAUCGGAGUUGGAUUUUUCGAAUACCACACCUUUCCACCACUGACUCCAUUAACUCCGUCAAAACCAACUCUCAUUGUCCCAAAAUUACAGUUACGUCAUCGAGUUGAUUUUGUUCGCAUCGGUUUGAACUCUGAUGAAUUUAGUUACUGAUCAACGAAGGAUUGGCAAGAAAAAAAUUUCUAAACAGGUAUGUGGGAAUUAUGUUAGGGGUUUUGGAGUGUGGACUCACAUUUUUAUUCUUUUUGAGACGUAUGUGGGUUUACAUUUCAUUUUAUUGGAUCGUUGCAUUCGAUUGUACUUUUGAUUUCCCCAAACAAGUUUAUAAGAAUUAGGCGUAACUUUCUGAAUUUGCGUAACCACUACUAAUUUCGAAAGCAUUCACUUCAACGCCCAAAAAUAAGGUGACUUUCGCACUCAAUUUCAACAACAGCUAUUACUUAGUUUUGUUUUGUUAGCUUUGAAAAUUGAUUAGGUAUAUAACAUCCGACAUACAAUGAAUUGAAAACUUAGCUUAAAAAGUUACUUAUUAGGGAAUAUUGAUUUGAGCCUGAGCUCAUGGGAAUUUUAUACAUACUGAUUUCUGAAGUGUCAUAUGAAAUGUUCAAUUUUUUCCAUACUUCUAAGUGUUUGUUGAAAUGCAUAAUAGAAAAUAAUGUUCAGUUUCAGCUGUUUUGCGUUGGUUCUUUCUUCACUUUUUUAAGUUUGGAACUAUCCAGUAUCAGCACUUGAUAUCAGCAACUAUUAGAAGUAUCUAAACAUCACAGCCGAAGUUAAAUGAAUAUCACUACCAAUUAGCGGCGUGGUCUCUAAAUCCCAUAAUUUUUACUCCUCAAUCACGAGCACAAUGGCCUUCCAGUAGUCCGGCACUGAAUACAUCAGUAUGAUGGCAUGCUUUUCUGUAAUUUUCUUCAUUUAUAUCUAAAUUGCUUCUGUUAGUUACUGCAUUUCUGUAGAAGAAGAAAAAUGGGCUUGAACUGGUGUCUCAGCAAGCAAAUUUUCAUAGUUAGACAUCUACUUAAGGUCGGUCGACAUUCUGGAAGCCAUGAACUGCAACUAAUUGUGGCAGCAUACAUCCCGAACUGAAUUUGUCGGUGAUGGGCUAAAAGCUCGGAACCUGAUAACUCUGAAAGGUCGUUGGCUUCUACUAGCAGACGAGUUGAAACUGAACACCAGAAGCUGAUUUGCUAGCUGGACUGGAGCGAAUUUGUAUCACAAAUUUUUAUCAUGGAACGCAAGAGGUGCACGUAUCACCAAAAUGUGUAUUGCAAGUUGAAACUAACACAUGAAGGACUAUUGUCUUAGGAAGUUUUUUUCUUUCUUUUGAGUGUUUCAAGAUUCAACUUCAGUUAGCUCUAUACGUUUCUGCUUUUCAAUUUUAACACGGUAUAUAUGAUCGAGAGAAAAAGUUGGAACAUACAAGCACACAUUUUUAGUUAAGUAGUUGUUUUUGAUUGAAAAUUUAUUGAAUGAAAAUUUUUUGGAACAAAA
Molecule: long non-coding RNA, 1785 nt
Organism: Papaver somniferum (opium poppy)
Lineage: Eukaryota; Viridiplantae; Streptophyta; Magnoliopsida; Ranunculales; Papaveraceae
Exons: 2
Source: RefSeq, a predicted model, not a curated record